UUUCAGCAACCUCUGCCUCUCAGAAGCAAGGUCCCCAGUUGAAUCACUCACAUUUCAAACUCUCUUAGAUGCCCCAGCCAUUAUAAUCUCCUCCUCUUC
Ceratotherium simum simum (southern white rhinoceros) is the source of this 99-nucleotide non-coding RNA. The record is from RefSeq and is a predicted model, not a curated record. Lineage: Eukaryota; Metazoa; Chordata; Mammalia; Perissodactyla; Rhinocerotidae.